Molecule: ribosomal RNA, 300 nt
Filed under: uncultured Halorubellus sp.
Lineage: Archaea; Methanobacteriati; Methanobacteriota; Halobacteria; Halobacteriales; Halorubellaceae
Description: bacterial SSU rRNA
Rfam family: Bacterial small subunit ribosomal RNA (bases 62-300)
Source: RNAcentral
GAUAGAUGCGUGCGAGCAGCGGAGGUGAAGUGAGGGAGGCGAGGGUGUCGGGGAAUGGAGUGGGGUAAAGCGUAAGUGUGCGGGUUUGUAAGUCGGGGGGGAAAUCCGGGAGGGCAAGUCCAGAACUGCCGUCGAGACGGGAGAGGUCGAGUCCGGGAGAGGUGAGUGGAACGGCGAGUGUAGAGGUGAAAUUCGUAGAUAUUCGCAAGAACACCAGGGGCGAAGGCGGCUCACUGGCCCGGUACUGACGCUGAGGUGCGAAAGCGUGGGGAGCAAACAGGAUUAGAUACCCUAGUAGUC